CAGAGUCAGGCUUGCGUGUGGGCCCCCAACCGCCUCUCCGCUUCUGCGCGCUCCUAGCUCGGGGAUGGUGGGGGACGAUCGGCUUCCACAGAAGGUUCCUAUAGUUUAUUAUCCCUCCCUCCAUCCAUCCAUUCAUCCUUCCUGUCCUUAUCCGGAACCCAGCACAUACCUGCCAUAGUGGUUGCUCAGUACCUAUUUGUGGAAUGAAUGGAAGUCAGACCACCAGAAGAAGUGCUUGAAAAUCAAGGCCAUUUUAAGACCUUAAUUGUUCCUAAGCCCUGAAAGUGGAUGAGGCUCCUCAUGUAUCCUAUAUGUAAUUCAAAAUUAAAAAUUAAUCCUAAACUGUAAAAUAAAUGUAAGCAGA
Molecule: long non-coding RNA, 364 nt
Filed under: Mustela putorius furo (domestic ferret)
Lineage: Eukaryota; Metazoa; Chordata; Mammalia; Carnivora; Mustelidae
Description: lncRNA (ENSMPUG00000030311.1)
Source: RNAcentral